Molecule: non-coding RNA, 107 nt
Organism: Morus notabilis
Lineage: Eukaryota; Viridiplantae; Streptophyta; Magnoliopsida; Rosales; Moraceae
Source: Rfam
AUCCCAUGAUAAGGGCAUUUCCGCAAUAGCUCUUUGAAUCUUUCUCAUGCUUCAUACAGAGAUUCCUCAUCCACUUGUUGGAAUGAGGUAAUGUCAUUUAUGAGCUU